RNAcentral lists this ribosomal RNA (643 nucleotides) under uncultured bacterium. RNAcentral describes it as "bacterial SSU rRNA". It matches the Rfam family "Bacterial small subunit ribosomal RNA", at positions 232 to 885 of the family's 1533-position model. The record is from RNAcentral.
CGCGGCCUAUCAGCUUGUUGGUGGGGUGAUGGCCUACCAAGGCGACGACGGGUAGCCGGCCUGAGAGGGUGUCCGGCCACACUGGGACUGAGAUACGGCCCAGACUCCUACGGGAGGCAGCAGCGGGGAAUAUUGCACAAUGGGCGCAAGCCUGAUGCAGCGACGCCGCGUGAGGGAUGACGGCCUUCGGGUUGUAAACCUCUUUCAAUAGGGACGAAGCGCAAGUGACGGUACCUAUAGAAGAAGCACCGGCCAACUACGUGCCAGCAGCCGCGGUAAUACGUAGGGUGCGAGCGUUGUCCGGAAUUACUGGGCGUAAAGAGCUCGUAGGUGGUUUGUCGCGUUGUCCGUGAAAACUCACAGCUUAACUGUGGGCGUGCGGGCGAUACGGGCAGACUGGAGUACUGCAGGGGAGACUGGAAUUCCUGGUGUAGCGGUGGAAUGCGCAGAUAUCAGGAGGAACACCGGUGGCGAAGGCGGGUCUCUGGGCAGUAACUGACGCUGAGGAGCGAAAGCGUGGGGAGCGAACAGGAUUAGAUACCCUGGUAGUCCACGCCGUAAACGGUGGGUACUAGGUGUGGGUUUCCUUCCUUGGGGUCCGUGCCGUAGCUAACGCAUUAAGUACCCCGCCUGGGGAGUACGG